RNAcentral lists this ribosomal RNA (253 nucleotides) under uncultured bacterium. RNAcentral's name for it is "partial 16S ribosomal RNA". It matches the Rfam family "Bacterial small subunit ribosomal RNA", at positions 524 to 776 of the family's 1533-position model. The record is from RNAcentral.
UACAGAGGUGGCAAGCGUUGUUCGGAAUUACUGGGCGUAAAGGGCUCGUAGGCGGCCAACUAAGUCGGACGUGAAAUCCCUCAGCUUAACUGGGGAACUGCGUCCGAUACUGGAUGGCUUGGAUUUGGGAGAGGGAUGCGGAAUUCCAGGUGUAGCGGUGAAAUGCGUAGAUAUCUGGAGGAACACCGGUGGCGAAGGCGGCAUCCUGGACCAAUAUUGACGCUGAGGAGCGAAAGCCAGGGGAGCAAACGGG